CCUACGGGUGGCAGCAGUCGAGAAUCAUUCACAAUGGGGGAAACCCUGAUGGUGCGACGCCGCGUGGGUGAAUGAAGGUCUUCGGAUUGUAAACCCCUGUCAUGUGGGGGCAAAUUAUAAAGAUAGUACCACACGAGGAAGAGCCUACUAACUCUGUGCCAGCAGCCUCGGUAAUACAGAGGUCUCAAGCGUUGUUCGGAAUCACUGGGCGUAAGGCGUGCGUAGGCUGUUUCGUAAGUCGUGUGUGAAAGGCGCGGGCUCAACCCGCGGACGGCACAUGAUACUGCGAGACUAGAGUAAGGGAGGGGGAACCGGAAUUCCCGGUGUAGCAGUGAAAUGCGUAGAUAUGGAGAGGAACACUCGUGGCGAAGGCGGGUUCCUGGACAUGAACUGACGCUGAGGUACGAAGGCCAGGGGAGCGAAAGGGAUUAGAUACCCCAGUAGUC
Molecule: ribosomal RNA, 446 nt
Filed under: uncultured bacterium
Lineage: Bacteria
Description: partial 16S ribosomal RNA
Rfam family: Bacterial small subunit ribosomal RNA
Source: RNAcentral